This is a long non-coding RNA of Oreochromis aureus, 1413 nucleotides long. NCBI's taxonomy places the organism in Eukaryota, Metazoa, Chordata, Actinopteri, Cichliformes, Cichlidae. The record is from Ensembl.
GUCUGAGUUACACAAAUGUUUUCUCUUCUGUUUCAGGGCUCCCUGAAUGGGCUGCCGCACUCAUCGGUGUUCUUGUUGUUUUAUUAUUGCUUUAGUGAUUGCCCUUGCAGUUACAGCAUACUGUUUGAAGAAAGAUUCACAAAGAAUGGAAAAUGGCCGCUCCUCAGAGCUGCACAGAAAUCUCACCUCUGAACAACCUUAAAAGUUUGUAGUGGUCUUUUUAACCUGUUUUUUUUUUUUGUUUUUUUUUUGUUUUUUUCUUUGAUUCAUCAGAGAUUUUAAUCAGGACAGGAAAACAAGUUGGUGCUUUUUUUGUAUUUCUAAUCUUAAUAGGUUGUAUUUUGUUUUUGUUUUUUUCAUUGUACUGAAUUACUGAUUUAUCUCGCAGGCCUCAAUAUCUGCUUAUAACAUGGACAUUGCAUGUUUUGUUAUUUUCAGUCUUAAAAUCACUGUGGAGUGAUGAGGACAUUGUAACCGUCCAUCCAUCCGCUUAUCCUUUUUCAGGGUUGCGGGGGCGCUGGAGCCUAUCCCAGCUGUCGAGAGGCGGGGCACACCCUGGACAGGUCGCCAGUCUGUCGCAGGGCCAUAACACACAGAGACAAACAACCAUUUACACUCACAUUCCCCAUUAUCCCCACUAACUGCAUGUCUUUGGACUGUGGGUGGAAGCUGGAGUACCUAGAGAGAACAUGCAAACUCCACACAGAAAGACCCCGGCCUGAUGGCGGAAUUGAACUCAGAACCUUCUUGCCGUAAUCGUCUCCAUGUUAAUGCACAUGUUUCCAUCAUUGAAACCUUAGUUUGAUCAUUUACUGAUCAUCUCAGUGUUUCCUCCUCUGCUGCAGUUUCACGGCUCCUCCUCCUGACUCCAGAUUUGCUAAUGACGUGAAGAUGUUUCAAGAAAUCCUCUUUUAAAUGCACCCAAGACAGUAUAAGGUUUUACUUUAGUUGCCUAACUUUAAGCUUACAGUAGUCAAAACUUGCUUCCACACAUGACUUUAACAGUAAUUAUACUGUCUUGCUGAGAUAUUGUUAGAAUAAUAUAUUUUGACUUUUAAUGUCACAAUGAUAUCUGUUCUUACAUAAACGUGUGCAGCUUUAUAAAUAAUUUGCUGACCAAACGUUCUGUGACAUUCAUGUUUUUAAUGAGGACAGUGAUGUUUUUUUCAUCAUAAUAGAUUAAGAUAAUUGGAACUCGUACAGAAUUUGAUAAAUAAUGAGAAAUGCAAAAUUAAAAUUACCCAAGAUAAAAAAGGACCCUUAAUGUUAAGACUGGAGAGAAGUUAAAAUAUCAGGUUUGUCAGUCAAAAGCUGUCAUACAGAUGGUGAAGAAUCUAAACUUCUCGACUCAUAUUUAACUCAGGUUAGUUAAACAUGUACUCAUGGAAGACUUGAUUAAACUGAACCCUCAGC